UCUCGUCUGUCGCCAUGUGAGAUGUACCUUUCACUUUCCUCCAUGAUUUUGAGGCCUCCUUAGCCACAUGGAACUGAAAUGCUGGAGUCCUUCAUCAGAAUGGUAAAUGGCACUUGUGACAAAAGUCAAAGUAACUAAAAAAGAAUCUGGUUGAAACCUCAGUAACAAUUGGCCUGUGUACUGCCUCACACUAACAAGGGGGAGCUAAUAAAACUGAGGGCAGAACACACAAUGUGGAAAUGAGAACCUUAUUCUUGUCAAUGGAUGGAGGGUGGUGACCCCCACCUUUACAACUGUCUGUAAUUCUCACUAGCAGUAUAUUAGAGGGCAAAAGAUUUGAACAGACACAUCAGAAAAGAAGACAUACAAAUGGCCGCUAAGCACUUGAAAGGAUUCUGAACACCAUUAGUCAUCAGUGAAAUGCAAAUUAAAGCCAUAAUGAAUGGCGCUAUACAUUUUCAGAAUGGCAAGGAUUGAAGACUGAAAAAAAUCAAGCGUUGAGGAGAGUGACAAAUGGGGAGACAGCCAUGGUGCAUGAUCGCCGAAGAAAUACCAUGUGAGGAUACAGCAAGAAGGUGGCCAUCUACAAGCCAAGGAGACAGGCCUCAGAAGAAACCAACCCUUCUUACACCCUGGACUCAGACUUCUAAUCUCCAGAACUUGUUAAUGCACAAGGUCUUGUGUUGAAAAUGUAGAGCCACGAGAUAAAAGCAGCUUGGAUGGCUGACUCAUAUACAAGGACAACUGCCUGAGAGUCACCAGGACUAUCAAGAAGUUUGCAGAAACAAGAAAUAAACUUUUACUGUUUUAAACUUUUGUGAAUUUUGGGUUUUGUUUAUCACCAAAUAAACCUAGUCUAUUCUGAUUGUUAUAAGUGGUUAAUUUGGGAAGUCAGAUAUAUUUAAAAUUGGCUUACUGCUGUAACAUAUACAGUCCAAAUUACAUAAUGGCUCAAAUGCAAUAGAAGUCUUUUUUUUUUUUUUUUUGCUCACGUAUCACUUCAUUGAGAUUCUGCAUUAAUUGUAAUGAGGAGGGUGGGGGUGUCUUAUAUCAUACAGUUGUUCAGCAACCCAGGAUGACCAACUUCGUAAUAUUUUUUCCCACUGGCUUCUAAAGUUCUCAUAGAUAGUAAAAUUCAUUUGGAAGAAGGAGAAAGAGCAUGGAGGAUUGCAGAUGGAGAUUUUUAUGGGAAGGCUUGGAAGUUUCGAGGUUGCACAUUACUACUUUUACUUGUUGGCUAGGAAACUAUCACGUGGUCACACCUAAGUGCCAGUGAGUCUGACAAUGUGGCAAUUUGGUUGCGUGCCAGGGGUAAGAGGCAAUAAAUUUUGCUCAGUAAUUAUCAGUUUUUGCCACAGAUGGAGGGACUUUUCAUUGUAUAACUAGUUGCUACUGUUUCAAUUUAAAAGAGGAAAAUAUCAUUUUCAAAUAAAAACACAAAAGUGGCACAAAAAAUUCUUAUGAUUUUUUUUGCUUGAAUUUUGUGCAUUUAUUUGGCUAUUAUUAAAGUAAAUAAUUCUCUUUAUAGAAAAUGUAGAAAGUAACAAAAAAUAAAUAAGCAGAAAGUCAUCCAAUAACCCCCAUGAUCCCAGCAUAAUAACCUUUUUUAAGGUAACUGAAAUGACCAUCCUUCUUUUACAACUGCAGACACUAACACCCAGGGAUUUUAAGAAAUUUGUCAGCUCUAGUAAGUGGUAGAGCACAGAGAAAAGAAAAGCCAGGGAAGCUUUUACAGAGCAGGAGACAAGGAUAGAAAAGGACUUAUGAAUGGGGAAACACAAUUGACAAAUUAUUUUAAAAUUUUGCAGGUUUAAUCGCAUGGAGAGAGAGAGCAUAGAACACAAGAAAUAUACCAAAGCAACAGAGAGACAGAUUCUUGCUUUGUCACCCAAGUUGGAGUGCAGUGGUGCGAUCAUAACUCCAGAACCUCAAAUUGCCCAGCUCAGAAGAUCCUCCUGCCUCAGCCUCCUGAAUACCUAGUAUUACAGGUGUGUGCCACCAUGCCCAGCUAAUUUCUUUUAUUUUUUGUAGAGAUGGGGUCUUCUUAUGUUGUGCAGGCUGGCGAUGCCCCUGCCUUGACCUCUCAAAGCACUAGAAUUACAGAUGUGAGUCAUUGCACCUCUUCCAGUGGCACGUUUUGGAAAGUACUUUUUCCCCUAUUGAAUUGCCUUGGCAUUUUUGUCAAAAAUCUUUUCAUCAUAUAUGUUUGGGUCUAUUUCUGGAUACUCUAUUCUGCUCUAGCAAUAUACAUAUCUAUGCUUAUGCCCAUACAAUAUUGUUGUGAUUACUACAGUGUUAUUGUAAUUUCUGAAGUCUGGUAGUGUAUUUUUUCUAUGUUUUCUUUUGUGUAACAUUGAUUUUACUAUUCUACAUCAUUUUUAUUUCCACGUACAUUUUAAAAUCAACUUGUCACUUUCUCUAAGAGAACUUUCUAGACAUUUUGUUGAGAUUGCAUGGAAUUCAUAGGUCACUUUGAAGAGAAUUUACAUUUUAAUAAUAUUGAUUGUUCCAAUGCAUGAAUGAGUAAUAUUCCUCCAUUUAUUUAGGUUUUUGUUAAUUUCUUUUAUUCUCUAUUUUAUAGUGUAAAAGUCCUGUGAAUAUUUUGUUAAGUUUUUAUGUAAGCAUUUCAUAAUUUUUUUGGGGGGGUAAAUGUAUAUUAAAUUCUUAAAAUUUUAUUUUCUAUGUCUUUGCUGAAAGUAUAUAAUAUGCAAUUAAAUUUGUUUUAAUCUUCUAUAUUUAAAAGUUAUAAGAAAAUUGUUAUGCUUAUACUUAACCAGUCACUAUCUUUUAUCUUUAUUCAUUUAAACUUUAUUCAUUCCUAAGAUAUGAAUUUUCAUGUAUCAAUUCCCUCUUCAAGCCUGAAUAAUUUUAUUUGUAUUUCCCAUAGCUUUACUUUGUCUGAAAAUGUCUUUAUUUUAACUUUGUUCUAUUUUCACUAAAUAUAAAAUUCCGGGUUAACCAUUAUUUUCUUUUUCUUUCAGCAUUUUAAAUAUGUUGCUUUACUGUCAUCUGUCCUUAAUGGUUUCUGAUGUCAUAGCCACCGUCAUUUGAACCAUUGUUCCACCAUAUGUAAAGUAUUAAUUUCUGGGUGUUUUUAAGAUUUUCUUGUUCCUUUUGUCUUUCAGCCGUUUUACUAUGAGGUAUCUAUACCUGUGUAGAUGCUUCUUUCAAAUGUGUCCUAUUUGGAGUUUGCUGACCUUUAGUAAUCUAUAAAUAUAGGCCUUUCACCAGAUUUGGAAAGUUUUGGUCAUCAUUUCUUCAAAUAUUUUUUGUCUCAAAUUUUUCCUUUGUUUCUAGGACUCCAAUUACCUAAUUAAGGUGUUAGACCUUUUGAAAUGUUCCACUGUUCUGUGGGGCUCAGUUUGUACUUUUCCUUUUUUUUUUUUUUUUUUUUUUGAGAUGGAGUCUCCUCUGUCACCAGGCUGGAGUGCAGUGGCACAGUCUUGGCUCACUGCAACCUCCGCCUCCUGGGUUCAAGCGAUUCUCCUGCCUCAGCCUCCCAAAUAGCUGGGAUUACAAGCACAUGCCACCAUGCCCAGCUAAUUUUUGUAUUUUUAGUAGAGAUGGGUUUUCACCAUGUUGGCCAGGCCGGUCUUGAACUCCUGACCUCGUGAUCCGCCUGCCUCGGCCUCCCAAACUGCUGGGAUUACAGGCAUGAGCCACCGCGCCUGGCCCAGUUUGUAUUUUUUCAUAAACUUUUUGUCUCUUUUUCAAAUUGUAUGAUUUCUAUUGAUUUAUAUUUGGUUUUACUUAGAUUCUUUUGACACCUUUAUUUUAAAAAUUUGGCCUACACAGGAAAUUUGUAUUUCAGGCUUUGUGUUUUUAUCAAUUUUAAAAUUACUUUUAUGCCUUUUUAUGUUUUCUACAAUUAUGCUGGUAUUUUCUAAUUUUUUUAUUCCUUCCACGUGUAUCUUUCUUUACCUGAUUGAGCAUAGUUAUAACUCUGUUUAAAGUUAGUGUCUGAUAAUUUCAACAUUUGGUCAUUUUUCCCCUUAAAAAUGGGUCAUUGUUUCCUGAAUCUUUGUAUAUGAAGUGGUUUUCGGAUUGAACUGUGGACAUAAUGAAUGUAAUUAUGAAUAAAAAUCUAGGCUCUGGCUUUUUUCA
Gorilla gorilla gorilla (western lowland gorilla) is the source of this 4104-nucleotide long non-coding RNA. RefSeq lists it as uncharacterized. The transcript is spliced from 7 exons. The record is from RefSeq and is a predicted model, not a curated record. NCBI's taxonomy places the organism in Eukaryota, Metazoa, Chordata, Mammalia, Primates, Hominidae.